RNAcentral lists this ribosomal RNA (443 nucleotides) under uncultured bacterium. RNAcentral's name for it is "partial 16S ribosomal RNA". It matches the Rfam family "Bacterial small subunit ribosomal RNA", at positions 338 to 795 of the family's 1533-position model. The record is from RNAcentral.
CCUACGGGGGGCAGCAGUGGGGAAUAUUGGGCAAUGGACGAAAGCCUGAUGCAGCAACGCCGCGUGAAUGAUGAAGGUCUUCGGAUUGUAAAGUUCUUUUCGAGGGGAAGAAGGAGGUGACGGUACCUUAGGAAUAAGCCUCGGCUAACUACGGGCCAACAGCCGCGGUAAUACGUGGGAGGCGAGGGUUAUCCGGAAGGACUGGGCGUAAAGGGUGGGUAGGUGGGUUGGCAAGUUAGUAGAGUAACUCCACGGCUCAACCUUGGAACUGCUACUGAUACUGUUGGGCUUGAGUGCAGGAGGGGCAACCGGAAUUCCUGGUGUAGCGGUGAAAUGCGUAGAGAUCAGGAGGAACACCAGUGGCGAAGGCGGCUUCCUGGACUGUAACUGACGCUGAGGCACGAAAGCGUGGGGAGCAAACAGGAUUAGAUACCCCUGUAGUC